This 270-nucleotide ribosomal RNA is filed under the name uncultured bacterium. Its description in RNAcentral is "partial 16S ribosomal RNA". It matches the Rfam family "Bacterial small subunit ribosomal RNA", at positions 28 to 293 of the family's 1533-position model. The record is from RNAcentral.
GAUUAACGCUAGCGGCAGGCCUAAUACAUGCAAGUCGAGGGGCAGCAGGGUGUAGCAAUACAUCGCUGGCGACCGGCGCACGGGUGCGUAACACGUAUGCAAUCUUUCCUUAACUGGGGAAUAGCUUUGAGAAAUCAGAAUUAAUACCCCAUAACAUUAUGAAGUGGCAUCACUUUAUAAUUAAAGCUCCGGCGGUUAAGGGUGAGCAUGCGCCCCAUUAGCUAGUUGGCGAGGUAACGGCUCACCAAGGCAACGAUGGGUAGGGGUUCU